AGCAGCCGCGGUAAUUCCAGCUCCAAUAGCGUAUAUUAAAGUUGUUGCAGUUAAAAAGCUCGUAGUUGAAUUUCGGGAUUGGCGCAUCGGUCGUGCCUCACGGGGUAUGAACUGGUGCAGUCAAUUUCUCACCUUCUGGAGAACCGCGAUGUCCUUAAUUGGAUGCCGCGGGGAACCAGGACCUUUACUUUGAAAAAUUAGAGUGUUUAAAGCAGGCAUUUUUGCUUGAAUACAUUAGCAUGGAAUAAUAAAUAGGACGGCAUGGUUCUAUUUUGUUGGUUUCUAGGACCCACCGUAAUGAUUAAUAGGGAUAGUUGGGGGCAUUAGGUAUUCAAUUGUCAGAGGUGAAAUUCUUGGGUAUUUAUUGAAGACUAACUACUGCGAAAGACA
This 390-nucleotide ribosomal RNA is filed under the name uncultured Entrophospora. RNAcentral describes it as "SSU rRNA". It matches the Rfam family "Eukaryotic small subunit ribosomal RNA", at positions 569 to 954 of the family's 1831-position model. Lineage: Eukaryota; Fungi; Glomeromycota; Glomeromycetes; Entrophosporales; Entrophosporaceae. The record is from RNAcentral.